UCCGUAGCUGAAAUAGCUCAGUUGGGAGAGCAUUAGACUGAAGAUCUAAAGGUCCCCAGUUCAAUCCUGGGUUUUGGAA
Chiloscyllium plagiosum (whitespotted bambooshark) is the source of this 79-nucleotide non-coding RNA. NCBI's taxonomy places the organism in Eukaryota, Metazoa, Chordata, Chondrichthyes, Orectolobiformes, Hemiscylliidae. The record is from the annotation of a RefSeq genome assembly.